UUUAAAGUUAUAUUUUUAUUAAAAAUAAUUAUAAUUAUUAAUGUUUUAGUAUAGUAUAUAGAAUAAAUAAUUUUUAUGAUAGUAAAUUAGUACUGUAAAGAAAAAUUGAAAUAAAUUGAAAAAUUAAUAUAUAUAAAGAAGAUUUAAAUUAUUGUACCUUGUGUAUCAGGGUUUAUUAAUUAAAAAAUAAAUAAUAUUAUUUUUCUCGAUUUUAAAAGAGUUAAUAAAUUAUAUUAGUUUAUGUGGAAAAAUGAUUAAUAAUAAUUUAUUAGAAAUGAAAAGUUAUUCGUUUUUAAAGGUAUCUAGUUUUUUAAGAAAUGAAUUUAAUUCAGUUAUUUUAAAUAUAUUAAUUUAAUUAUUUAAUUUAAUAUUUUAAAAUAAUAAUAUUUUAUGGGAUAAGCUGUAAAAUAAAUAAUUAAAAAUUUAUAAAUUUAUUAAUAAAUAUAUGCUUAUAAAUAGCAAUUAUUAUUGAAUAUGUUAUAAUUUAUUUUAUAAAAUUAAUUAUUUAAUAUAAUUUUAAUUAUUUAUUAAAAUAUUUAUUUUAAUAAUAAAAAUAAAUUAAUAAUGAUAAAAUUAGUAUAUAAUUUAAUUUGUAUAAAUAUAAAUAAUUGAUAAUUUUAUAUAAAGAACUCGGCAAAUAUUGUAUUCGCCUGUUUCUCAAAAACAUGUCUUUUUGUAUUUUAUUUAAAGUCUAAUCUGCCCACUGAUAUUUAUUGAAGGGCCGCGGUAUUUUAACCGUGCAAAGGUAGCAUAAUCAUUAGUUUUUUAAUUGAAGGCUUGUAUGAAUGGUUGGACGAGAUAUAAGCUGUUUCAUAUAAAAUUAAAUAGAAUUUUAUUUUUUAGUUAAAAAGCUAAAAUUUAUUUAAAAGACGAGAAGACCCUAUAGAUCUUAAUAAUUUAUAUAUUUUAUUUAUAUAGAAAAUUUAAGAUAUUAUAAUUAUAAUUAUUUUGUUGGGGUGACAAUAAAAUUUAAUUAACUUUUAUAUUUAAUUUACAUAAAUUAAUGAAUAAUUGAUCCAUUAUUAAUGAUUAAUAAAUUAAGUUACCUUAGGGAUAACAGCGUAAUUUUUUUAGAGAGUUCAUAUCGAUAAAAAAGUUUGCGACCUCGAUGUUGGAUUAAGAAAUAAAAUUGGGUGUAGAAGUUCAAAAUUUUAGGUCUGUUCGACCUUUGAUUUCUUACAUGAUCUGAGUUCAAACCGGCGUGAGCCAGGUUGGUUUCUAUCUUUAUUAAAUUAUAAUAUUUUAGUACGAAAGGACCAAAUAUUAAAAAUAUAAAUUUUUUUGUAUAGAAUUUUAUUAAUUUUACUAUUUUGGCAGAUUAGUGCAA
Molecule: ribosomal RNA, 1327 nt
Filed under: Chrysops dissectus
Lineage: Eukaryota; Metazoa; Arthropoda; Insecta; Diptera; Tabanidae
Description: 16S ribosomal RNA
Source: RNAcentral